CCAGUCAUGUUACUUCCAAAAGGGAAGGACCUAUUUAUGAACUCAAUUCCAAAAGGGGUGGUGGGAUUCACAGCUGUGUGUCUGACACCAGCAGGACUGAGUGAGUAGAUCAACAAGUCUGUUGAGUCAGAGGUCACAGAACCGGCUUUGACUGCCUCAAGAACUGCCUCAGCAUAAUGCUUUCAACUUUCUCUUGUUACUCAGAGAAGAACUAAGUGGGCAAACACAUUUUUAUUGACAAAUUUUGGCUAGAACACGUAAGGGGUAGAAGAGCACAAGACCAACACUGGAUUGGUCAUGGAAAGGGUGACCACUAAGCCAGGCAGUUCGACCCAUGCAUGUAUCUCUUCAGCAUACAGCAGAACUAAUUCCAUCAAACUUCAGCUUCUGUGUGGAUUCUACAGCAAGCCAGGGAUAUAUCGCUGACCCAUCUGAACAAUUUGCAGGCCAUCAUUGUGAGUACAGAGCCUUAAAACUCUUAACAUGCAUGG
Molecule: long non-coding RNA, 491 nt
Organism: Protopterus annectens (West African lungfish)
Lineage: Eukaryota; Metazoa; Chordata; Ceratodontiformes; Protopteridae
Exons: 3
Source: RefSeq, a predicted model, not a curated record